AUACGUAGGUGACAAGCGUUAUCCGGAUUUACUGGGCGUAAAGGGCGCGUAGGCGGUCUUGCAAGUCAGAAGUGAAAUUCCUGAGCUCAACUCGGGCGCUGCUUCUGAAACUGCAGGACUUGAGUGCUGGAGGGGAUAGCGGAAUUCCUAGUGGAGCGGUAAAAUGCGCAGAUAUUAGGAAGAACACCGGUGGCGAAGGCGGCUAUCUGGACAGUAACUGACGCUGAGGCGCGAAAGCGUGGGGAGCAAACAGGAUUAGAUACCCUGGUAGUCCACGCCAUAAACGAUUAAUACUAGGUGUAGGGGGUAUCGACCCCCUCUGUGCCGACGUUAACACAUUAAGUAUUCCACCUGGGGAGUACGGCCGCAAGGCUGAAACUCAAAGGAAUCGACGGGG
This 397-nucleotide ribosomal RNA is filed under the name uncultured bacterium. RNAcentral describes it as "partial 16S ribosomal RNA". It matches the Rfam family "Bacterial small subunit ribosomal RNA", at positions 523 to 918 of the family's 1533-position model. The record is from RNAcentral.